GAUGAACGCUGGCGGCGUGCCUAAUACAUGCAAGUCGAGCGAACGGACGAGAAGCUUGCUUCUCUGAUGUUAGCGGCGGACGGGUGAGUAACACGUGGAUAACCUACCUAUAAGACUGGGAUAACUUCGGGAAACCGUAGCUAAUACCGGAUAAUAUUUUGAACCGCAUGGUUCAAAAGUGAAAGACGGUCUUGCUGUCACUUAUAUAUGGAUCCGCGCUGCAUUAGCUAGUUGGUAAGGUAACGGCUUACCAAGGCAACGAUGCAUAGCCGACCUGAGAGGGUGAUCGGCCACACUGGAACUGAGACACGGUCCAGACUCCUACGGGAGGCAGCAGUAGGGAAUCUUCCGCAAUGGGCGAAAGCCUGACGGAGCAACGCCGCGUGAGUGAUGAAGGUCUUCGGAUCGUAAUACUCUGUUAUUAGGGAAGAACAUAUGUGUAAGUAACUGUGCACAUCUUGACGGUACCUAAUCAGAAAGCCACGGCUAACUACGUG
RNAcentral lists this ribosomal RNA (497 nucleotides) under uncultured bacterium. RNAcentral's name for it is "partial 16S ribosomal RNA". It matches the Rfam family "Bacterial small subunit ribosomal RNA", at positions 28 to 507 of the family's 1533-position model. The record is from RNAcentral.